AGGUUUUGCUGCAUUCCAUAUAGCAAUAUUGGUGUUGUGCUCUGUUGCAAUGUUAAUUGCAGUGGGAUUUUGUGGACCUGUUUGUAUCCUGCUAAGAAAGAAAGUUGCUAGCAAAGAGGGCAUAAAAAGGCACAUUUUUCUGAUCCUCUGUCCAAACAUCUGCAUGUUUUUGAGUUUCUGCUUGUGGUCAUCAGAAGGGUUUCUCGCUGAGAUCAUCACUUGUUCAGCUGUCAGUAUCAUGAGGCCUGUCAUAUUGUUAAAAACCUCUUCCUAUCUCAGCACUUUACCACG
Tachysurus vachellii is the source of this 291-nucleotide long non-coding RNA. RefSeq lists it as uncharacterized. The record is from RefSeq and is a predicted model, not a curated record. Lineage: Eukaryota; Metazoa; Chordata; Actinopteri; Siluriformes; Bagridae. The transcript has 3 exons.